CUACGGGGCGCACCAGUGGGGAAUAUUGCACAAUGGACGAAAGUCUGAUGCAGCAACGCCGCGUGGAGGAUGACACAUUUCGGUGCGUAAACUCCUUCUAUAUAGGAAGAUAAUGACGGUACUAUAUGAAUAAGCACCGGCUAACUCCGUGCCAGCAGCCGCGGUAAUACGGAGGGUGCAAGCGUUACUCGGAAUCACUGGGCGUAAAGAGCGUGUAGGCGGGUUAAUAAGUUGGAAGUGAAAUCCUAUGGCUCAACCAUAGAACUGCUUCCAAAACUGUUAACCUAGAAUAUGGGAGAGGUAGAUGGAAUUUCUGGUGUAGGGGUAAAAUCCGUAGAGAUCAGAAGGAAUACCGAUUGCGAAGGCGAUCUACUGGAACAUUAUUGACGCUGGGACGCGAAAGCGUGGGGAGCAAACAGGAUUAGAUACCCCAGUAGUC
This 439-nucleotide ribosomal RNA is filed under the name uncultured bacterium. RNAcentral describes it as "partial 16S ribosomal RNA". It matches the Rfam family "Bacterial small subunit ribosomal RNA", at positions 339 to 795 of the family's 1533-position model. The record is from RNAcentral.